AUUCCGGUGGCCUAGUGGUUAGAGCGUCGACAUCGUUUGUGGAUGGUCGCGGGUUCGAAUCCCGGUUGAGUCAUA
Molecule: non-coding RNA, 75 nt
Organism: Potamilus streckersoni
Lineage: Eukaryota; Metazoa; Mollusca; Bivalvia; Unionida; Unionidae
Source: the annotation of a GenBank genome assembly